RNAcentral lists this ribosomal RNA (504 nucleotides) under uncultured bacterium. RNAcentral's name for it is "partial 16S ribosomal RNA". It matches the Rfam family "Bacterial small subunit ribosomal RNA", at positions 29 to 523 of the family's 1533-position model. The record is from RNAcentral.
AUUGAACGCUGGCGGCAGGCCUAACACAUGCAAGUCGAACGGUAGCACAGAGAGCUUGCUCUCGGGUGACGAGUGGCGGACGGGUGAGUAACGUCUGGGAAACUGCCCGAUGGAGGGGGAUAACUACUGGAAACGGUAGCUAAUACCGCAUAACGUCGCAAGACCAAAGUGGGGGACCUUCGGGCCUCACACCAUCGGAUGUGCCCAGAUGGGGUUAGCUAGUAGGUGGGGUAAUGGCUCACCUAGGCGACGAUCCCUAGCUGGUCUGAGAGGAUGACCAGCCACACUGGAACUGAGACACGGUCCAGACUCCUACGGGAGGCAGCAGUGGGGAAUAUUGCACAAUGGGCGCAAGCCUGAUGCAGCCAUGCCGCGUGUAUGAAGAAGGCCUUCGGGUUGUAAAGGACUCUCUGCGGGGAGGAAGGCGGUGAAGUUAACAGCUUCACCGAUUGACGUUGCCCGCAGAAGAAGCACCGGAUAACUCCGUGCCAGCCGCCGCGGUAA